Molecule: long non-coding RNA, 883 nt
Filed under: Daucus carota (carrot)
Lineage: Eukaryota; Viridiplantae; Streptophyta; Magnoliopsida; Apiales; Apiaceae
Description: long non-coding RNA (DCAR_LNC003390)
Source: RNAcentral
GUCCAUGAUAUAUAUACAAAAUAAAAAUCUGUUAUACACAAGAACUAUGAAUCCUCGGCUAACUAACACAAUCUAUUCUUCACAUAGUUCACCUAGUAGGCACUCGCUUUUAAGUACAUCUAGCAAGGCUAUAUAGCAAAUCUAUGGGGUAACACUAUAGUGUUGAAUCAUGACUGAUGAGACCACAUUGCACAAAUAUUACACCAUCUAGAUCAACUUUUCAUAGAUAUAGUCUAUAUAUUACGCGCACCAUAUAUAUCAGUGGGCGCUGCACUAUUCCACAUUUCCACUAAUCCACUACGAGUACGUCUUAUUGUUUCUAUCCGCACGUCGGGAAGGCAUGAAUAGUGUGAGUGUCCAUACCAACUCAGACUCUUCUGUUGACGUAAUUAUUACAGUACUUUGAUGCUCUCUUUGCUUCUUUCUUUCACUCAUCAUUUUGUUUUAUGAUGCUAGACACCAAAUACUAUCCGUUCGGUUAUUCGGAUCUCAGGAGGGUUUAUAAUACGUUUGCACAAUGGACGACUAUGUAUACGAAUCUGCACAACGAAUUGAGGUUUGAGGUACUACAUAGGAAGCUUAUGUUGACAGGAGAUGCUUUCAAACAAUGAUCAGAUCUUUUCUUUCAAGAGAUUAGAUAUCAAAAAGGAGUUGAAAAUGACUACCUAUAGCUAUGGUGAAUUCACAAAUACUAAAUCAAUAGUCGGCUAGCUAGCUUGCUAGGAUUUGUGUACUAACUUUCAUUCAAUACCAGCGUACUUCAAGAUUUACAUGCUGAGCUGUACACACAGACGAGGUAGGGAGGGAGGGGGAGAGAGAGAGAUGAGAGAGAGGGAGAUGAGGGGGAGAGAGAGAGAGAGAGAGAGAGAGAGAGAGAGGGAGG